AGAGAAGGGAGGUCCAGGUUCAAACCCAGGCUGAGGAACAGAAACGACAGCAAACUUGCCACCCGAAUUAUCAUUAAGCACAAGGCUGCCUUCUAAGAGAUAAAUUGAUAAGGCGAUAAGAAUGGAAAAGCUGCGGGAGUCUAUCGGAAAAAAUUUUCUAGGGAAUGGAAAGAAGGCACCAUAAAAAUCCCAAAGAAGGGAGACCUUAGUCGAUGUACUAAUUAACGGGGGAGCAUCUUACUUGUAAUUAUUAGUGAAAUUUUUAAUAAAAUUGCGCUUGUAAGGAUUGCAGGGACAUUGGAUAAAGUGCUCCGAAAAGACACACAGGUAGGUCUAACAUAGAUCUCGUAUUGAACAAAUCAAUACUGUAAAAAUUAUUACAGAACAAUGGAUUUCAUGUCAUCACCUCUUCAUGUAAUGUUUGUGGACUUUCAAUGCUUUCAAAGCGUUUAACUUCUUAAGUAAGAAGCAGAUAUGGGAAGAACUAAGGGUAAAAGAAAUCCCUAGGAAAUUUAUUAUGUAAUAAACGAAGAAUAUGAGAAUUAACUUUGCCUGUACAGGGUUGCAUGAAGAUUUCUGUUGCCCUUGGUAGUAUCAUAUCUACGAAAGGUGGUGCCAAUAUUGAUGCAAAAACAAGAAAAAAAGAAGCCUUUUUGGAUUCAGAAAAGUGUGGCUUUCUCCACAGCGAUACAAAAAAUAAAGAUUUUUAACUGCCCAAAUUAUCUUUGCACGGAUGCGAAACAUUGUCAUGAAAGACAAUUUAGCGUAAAAUCCAGACAUUCAUUAAGAGAUGUUUAGGAUAUGUUUUAAGCAGGGCUGGGAAGUAACUCGUUACUUGUAACGACGUUUCAGUUACUUUUUUUUUGUAACUCUAACUUC
This is a long non-coding RNA of Vollenhovia emeryi, 879 nucleotides long. RefSeq lists it as uncharacterized. The transcript has 3 exons. The record is from RefSeq and is a predicted model, not a curated record. NCBI's taxonomy places the organism in Eukaryota, Metazoa, Arthropoda, Insecta, Hymenoptera, Formicidae.